UCGCACUGUUUUUGUUUUGGCCAGCAGAGGGCGCUACCGGGUCGCUGGAGCAGCUCCAUAUCACUCUUCUUCUGCAACUAACUACUUCCUAGGUUGCCAUUAAAACGAAGAAGAAGAAGCAGAAGAAGCCGAAGAAGCCGAAGAAGCAGAAGAAGCAGAAGAAGCAGAAGAAGCCGAAGAAGCAGAAGAAGCAGAAGAAGCCGAAGAAGCCGAAGAAGCCGAAGAAGCCGAAGAAGCCGAAGAAGCCGAAGAAGCCGAAGAAGCCGAAGAAGCCGAAGAAGCCGAAGAAGAAGAAGAAGAAGCAGCAGCAGCAGCAGCAGCAGCAGCAGCAGCAGCAGCAGCAGAAGAAGAAGAAAAAGAAAAAAAGGGAAAAAAGGAAAGAAGAAGAAGAAGAAGACGACGACGAAAACGACAACGACAACGACGAUAACAACAACAAAACAAACAACAAAACAAAAAAACAAACAAACAAACAAACAAACCAAAAAAAAAGUACUUGCAGAAAACUGUUGUGUUUUUCAGAAGCAAGUUUCAAGUGAAUCCACAACAUCAGCACAAACGUCUUUUGAAGCCAGGACGUAACCAGGGAUAGUGGAGAGGAAGGAGAAGAGGAAGACUGGAUAGGAAGAAGAGAGAAAGAGUUAGAGGAAGAGAGCGGUUUGGAAGAUGGUGAGGACCUGGCUUAAUACAGACACCAGCAGCAAGCUGAGGUUUGUCUCCGGAGGUGACAUCCAGACCAACAUUGAUCCCUGGCCAAAGACUCGGCUGCUUGUGAAAACCAUCGGCAGAGAACCAGAUGCCACUCCAAUAUGUGCCAAUGAUACACAGCAUGAGCUCGUAAUGUUAAUAUGUAGGAUCACCACAGAGAGGAGCAGAGGAGAAGAGUGUCAACUAACGUAUAAAUAUGGACAUGACUUUAACAAUAGUUGUGACUCCAGGUUCACACUUAUGACAGAGAAUCAGACUGUCUUUCUCCACCUGACCAGUUUAACACCGGAGGACAGUGGGAACUACUCCUGUCAGUGUGCAAACUCUGGUGGAACAUUUAAGCUGCAUAUCAACAUCACAGUGGAAGGGGAUGAAAGCAUCAGCAGGUCUACAGAAAUACCCUUCCCUUAUGUUGGAGUUGGUGUAAUUAUAUUCCUCAUUAUAACUGGAGGUGUCCUGGGAUUGAUCUACGGAAAACUUCAUAAUGGUAGAAGACAACUAGAACCCAUGACCAGCCACGCAACCAUGGAGCCGGGAGACAUUGAACCGUACAGCACUUUCAUCCAGAAAGAGAAUGAACUUUACUCAGUCGCCAUGAUGUACAGAAACACAUGAUACACUAAAACUGAUGCUGAUAAUUCAGAUGUGUUCGCCAGAGAUGACACAGAUUUCGGAAUUCCUUUAUACAGCAUCCAUUAUACAAUACCUACCGCUAUGUGACGCAUGUUUUUCUAUUGAUUAACAAGUGAAACUGGGCCUGCCGUCCAUAAGGAAACUAUUUUAGUUUGCCAUUAUUUCACUCACUCAUUUGUCCUUUUAAAAUGUUAAAUUCCCUUUUGUAAAUUUAAUAUUCUUAAAGGCAUGAGAGCAUUUUACUGCCUAAAAAUAUGAUAUAUUUUAAUAUAUUAAUUAUUACAAAAUAAUAGUUAAAACAAAAUUUGCAUUUGUUCUUUUGAUGCCCACUGUUUUGUACCUGCAAAUCCAAAAUAUUCAGAUAUGUAAAUAUGUUUUAGAUUAUAUUUAAAACAAAUAUCUCAUGUAUUUUCAUGAGACAUAUAAGGAUUUCUAUGUGAAUCCAAAUAAUAUACACAAGCUCUGCAAUGCUUUCGGAUGUAUGAUAAGUGAUGUACACAGGCGUGUUUCAAGGUGUUUUGUUUUAGCGUGAACGUCAGUUGUCAGUUUGACCUGUCACUUCCUGUACUAACACACGUCUACCAUGAGGCUUUCUCAGCCGCCUCCAUGAUGUUGCAGGUGCCUUCUUACCUCUCUGGCACAUACAUCGAUUUAAAGAGAGACCCAGCAGUGGGGUAUUUUAUCAUUUUUUAUUAUACAUGCUGUGAGUGUGACUCAUUUCACAUAGUAAGAAAUAUGAGUAUUUUAAGUCUUUGAAUCUUGAUGCUUUGACACAAACCAACAAAACAGCUAAGUUAAGGCAAAAAACACAUUUGAGCUUUUAUUUUUUCUUGUCACAGAUUAUCUUCAUCUGUCUGAGUUGUCCUGAUUUCUCCAACUAUCCAAAUUACAUGACAGGAAGAAUGAGGGUGGCGAUCAUAAUUGCAUUUUGUGACGCUCGGAGAUUAAUUAUUUUUUUAUAUUUAGACUGAAGUGUCCUGCAUCAGACUCACUUAUGCAACCACCAGUGGUAUUAACACCCACCAAUGCAUAGACAUCCUUGUAUCAGCUUUGAGUGGUGUGUUAGUUGUCAUUGGCGUUUCCUGUCGUCUCUCUGCCGUCUACUCUCUCUUAAACCUUUGGCCUCUGGGGUCUUAAAAGUACUUCAAAGUAGAUGUAGUCAAAUAUAACACUUCCUGUUUAGCACAAGCUCACAGACCUAUGAGGUAUUUUAGGUCGUUUUGUGGUUUAGGGAGCAAAAGGGUUGUGUCAGUGUUUGUCCUCCUCCCCUCUGAAGUUUGGUAGAAUCACAUUUAGCUAUCAUUGCUUUUCCUAACAGUGAGUUUAAAAGAGUGUAACCCACUAUUUACUUUAUCCUGCUCAUUGUUAUGCAAGAAAUAUGUUUGCUUAUGUCAUUCAUAAAAAAAAAUAAAUAAACGAAGAAUUAGCUGCUCAAACACUGUCACUAUUUUACUUUUUGAUAGUAUUAAUAUGAAGGCAGAGGCCUGUAGAAGCUCUUCCUUUUUAGAACAGUUCUCAUCUGCUCAAAUGUUGUGAGAGUGGGGGUUUGCGGUUUAAGCAACCAGAGAAAAGUGCAAAGUAGUGUGUCCCGUCAGUGCAGUACACUGUGCACUACCAGCAGCCGUUGCUUCAUGACCAGUGUGGGUGGAUGGAGUCCGUUCUUUGUUCUGCUUUGUUUUAACGGCAAAGGUACUGUACAGUUUUAAUGUUCAUAGGUCAAAUUGAUGCAAGUCAUUAUUCUUGAAUAAUCUUUGUCUUUGGGGAAUAUUAAAUCAUAUUAGUUUACACCAAACACCUAAAUACGGUGCUACUGCUAACUUAUUAAAUGUUGAUUGAUUGCAGUGACUCUUAAAAACCCUCAGGAAUAAACCAUAUUCUUGCUUAGAUGUCUUGACCAGUAUGGGGAGAUGGGAACUGUGUUUUCUUCUGCUUCUGCCAUUCAUUUUUUAUAUUGACAGCCAAGGUACUGUACAGAAACUUCUUUAUGUAUAACUUAUGUAACACAUUGUUCUCUGUUGUUCACUAUGUCUUUGGUUUUAAAGGAGUAACAGAAUAUGUUUGUAUAAUUUACUUAUUCAAUGCAGUUAAAGUUUAUCAGGCAUUUACAUAGGCAAGAAAUCAGUAAACACUCAUUGACUAUUUCAUAUGAUAUUGAUUUUUUAUUUCAAUUAUGUGAUUGCAGAGAAUUGGCUGCUUGUGAAAACCAUCGGCAGAGAACCAGAUGCCACUCCAAUAUGUGCCAAUGAUACACAGCAUGAGCUCGUAAUGUUAAUAUGUAGGAUCACCACAGAGAGGAGCAGAGGAGAAGAGUGUCAACUAACGUAUAUAUAUGGACAUGACUUUAACAAUAGUUGUGACUCCAGGUUCACACUUAUGACAGAGAAUCAGACUGCAUUUCUCCACCUGACCAGUUUAAGACCGGAGGACAGUGGGAACUACUCCUGUGAGUGUGCAAACACUGCUGGAACAUUUCAGCUGCAUAUCAACAUCACAGUGGAAGAGGAUGAGGAGCUCAGCAGUUCAACAGAAAUCCUCAUCCCAUGUGCUUUGACUGGUGCAGCUGUGGUCAUCAUUAUAACUGGAGUUAUUCUGGGAUUUAUCCACAAGACCAAAAGAUACCGUUCAUGGUCGAUCAUAGUCGAUCAUGGUCGAAGACCCAGAUGAGCCUUACAUGAGCCUUCAGCAGCCAACAGAUGAACUAUAUGAAACUAUCUCCUCAAUUCAGCGUCAACGAGACACCAACAUGACAAGAUCAGGAAGCAAUGUGUAGUGACUGUCCACUUGGAUGAUCAGAAAUAGAUGGAAGAGACACUGAUUCAAGUUGAAAAAACUAUGAAAACAUUUCAACCUGAAGUCAGGUCAAUAUAAAUAUUAUGCAUCAUGUGAAUGUUUGAUUAAAGGUUCCAUAUUGUAUAAAGUGAGGUUUCCAUGUCUUCUGUGCUUAUAAAGCAGGUGUAGGUUCUAUAUUAAUACUGUGAAAGUAUGAAAGCGCUCUGACCACAGAGAAAUGCACACAGCCUGUAUUCAGAAAACUGAGCCUUAAACAAGCUGUCAAGACUUCCUGAACUUUGUGGUGUCACAACAAAGCUGUUACCGCCCUCAGCCAUGCCCCAAGCUCCGCCCACCUGGACCCACCAUCCAACUUUGCAGGAUUUGGUUUCUCUGAGUGUUUACCUGAAAUCUACUAUAUUUUUAUUAGAUCACUCAGAAAACAGUCAGCCAAUCAGAAGAGAGGCUCAGAGCUCCAGAGAGAAACUUGAGAGAGGAGAUGUAAAACUACACUGAGAUGGUUUUUGGUUCUAAAAACAACAAAUAUAUCUUCUUAUGCAUCAACGCUUAAAAUAAAACAGGAAAAGUGAAAGUGUAAAACAUGGGACCUUUAAAGCUAUAUGAAGAGAAGGACCUGGGUCAGGGACAAGUUUUAAUCACUUCUGAAAUCUACAUUUGAACAAAGUUAAGUCACUUGCAUCGUGUGCUGUGUAUUCUUGUUGUGUCAAGUUAUAACAGUGGUGUGAGGGACAUAAAUUGCGACGAGCUGCAGAGACCAUGCAGCUCUAUUUACACUUUAAGCUCAGGCUGGUCAAUAUGUGAUGACCACAAAAUCAAACAUCUCUGUUUUAGCAUGCUACGUGAUGUUCCACUCUCACUGAACUUACACAUUGCAAGACCUGUGCAGGCAAUACUUGAUACAGGAUCUCAGUGGAUCCAGCUCCAGCUGUAAUCCAGAACAUGUGACUGGACCUGAAGCACAUGUAACAUAUGCAUGAGCAGCUUUUUGACAUUAAUAAUGUUGUGACCAAUGUUAACUCUUCACCAAACGAGACGGUUAAAGUUAUUAAAAGGUUGCUGACUGUUGUACCUUUAGGGAGUAUUAAUAAGAAAGUAGAAGCCUGUAGAAGCACUUCCGUUUUAGAAGAGUUCACAUCAGCUCAUACGUCAGUGAGAGCUGAGAGUUUGAGGUUUAGGCAACCAGAGAACAGUGCAAACGAGUGUGUCCCAUCAGUGCAGUACACUGUGCACUACCAGCAGCAGUUGCUUCAUGACCAGUAUGGAUGGAUGGACUCUGUUCUUUGUUCUGCUUCUGCCACUAACUGUGUGUUUUGACAGCGAAGUGACUCUUGAGAAAACCCUGGGGAGCAAACCAGAUGUCACUCCACUAUGCAACAAUACUACAGCUAUCACACUGAUAGUAUGUUCCAUCAAGACAGAGAGGAGCGGAGGAGAACAGUGUCGUCUACUGUAUCAAUAUGGAGAGGGCUUUCACAGUAGUUGUGACUCCAGGUUCACACUUAAGAACGGCAGUGAGACUGCAUUACUCCACCUGACCAGUUUAACACCAGAGGACAGUGGGAACUACUCCUGUCAAUGUUCAUAUCAUGGUGGAACAUAUAUUGUCCAUCUCAAUAUCACUGUGGAGGAGGAUGAGGAGCUCAGCAGUUCAACAGAAAUCCUCAUCCCAUGUGCUUUGACUGGUGCAGCUGUGGUCAUCAUUAUAACUGGAGUUAUUCUGGGAUUUAUCCACAAGACCAAAAGAGUCCGUUCAUGGUCGAUCACAUCUGGAUUAUCUGUAAAUGAAACUCCUGGCUGUGUGGACCAAGAAGACCCAGAUGAGCCUUACAUGAGCCUUCAGCAGCCAACAAAUGAACUAUAUGAAACUAUCUCCUCAAUUCAGCGUCAACGAGACACCAACAUGACAAGAUCAGGAAGCAAUGUGUAGUGACUGUCCACUUGGAUGAUCAGAAAUAGAUGGAAGAGACACUGAUUCAAGUUGAAAAAACUAUGAAAACAUUUCAACCUGAAGUCAGGUCAAUAUAAAUAUUAUGCAUCAUGUGAAUGUUUGAUUAAAGGUUCCAUAUUGUAUAAAGUGAGGUUUCCAUGUCUUCUGUGCUUAUAAAGCAGGUGUAGGUUCUAUAUUAAUACUGUGAAAGUAUGAAAGCGCUCUGGCCACAGAGAAAUGCACACAGCCUGUAUUCAGAAAACUGAGCCUUAAACAAGCUGUCAAGACUUCCUGAACUUUGUGGUGUCACAACAAAGCUGUUACCGCCCUCAGCCAUGCCCCAAGCUCCGCCCAC
RNA transcript from Seriola aureovittata, 6413 nucleotides. RefSeq lists it as uncharacterized. The transcript has 13 exons. NCBI's taxonomy places the organism in Eukaryota, Metazoa, Chordata, Actinopteri, Carangiformes, Carangidae. The record is from RefSeq and is a predicted model, not a curated record.